UUUUCUAACACCAACAACAAGAGAGAAUAGUUUAUGGACUAAAACUGAAGUCUCAGAGGUGAGAAACAUGGAAGGUGUCAGUGUGUUGUGGACUUGAAUCCAGCUAUGAUAUGCUUUCCCUGAUUUUGCAUUUAACACCGUCUGCCUUGGCUUAGAGGAUUUGACAUGGGUGCUGGGAAUUGCAAUGGGAUCUCUGGAAGAACAAUGCAGGCUUGUAACUAACAAGCCAUCUCUCCAGGAGGAGUGUGGUGGGGACCAGGUACCAGACUUGUUCCUGUGUGGACUCCUAUACCUCCAGGAAUCAGCACUCAGCCCCCAUUUCAUCUCCACAAUCAACUGGUUUAUGGCAUCACUCCAAAUUUUUUGGAUGAAGAAACUAGAGAUUAAAGAAGCCAUGUCACUUGCUCUGGUCACACAGACAGUGGAAGAAGCAGACCCUGAGCUUAUACCUUUUGUGGGACCAUCUUCCCCAGCUUACCACCACAAGCCAUGUCUUCAAGAGGGUCCUGAUACCUUCCAUCCAUUCUCCAGGAGAAGCCACCAUAGACCUGACAGGUUCCAGUUCAUCUGGUUCCUGCAGGUUGCUCAAUGGUUUAGAAUAUAGUUCUGGCCUUGCAGUGGAAUAAACAAAGAACAAGUCUUAGA
Molecule: non-coding RNA, 645 nt
Organism: Rattus norvegicus (Norway rat)
Lineage: Eukaryota; Metazoa; Chordata; Mammalia; Rodentia; Muridae
Source: RefSeq, a predicted model, not a curated record